This 223-nucleotide long non-coding RNA is filed under the name Setaria italica (foxtail millet). Its description in RNAcentral is "long non-coding RNA (SITA_LNC000500)". The record is from RNAcentral. Lineage: Eukaryota; Viridiplantae; Streptophyta; Magnoliopsida; Poales; Poaceae.
ACGAAGAUAGGAUGCCGCGUCGAAAAACCGCGGGGGCGGAGAAGGGCGGAUCGAGGCUUGCGUUCGAGGGACAGGCGAUCGUGCGGUGUACGUCUACUGUACCUGGCUACACGGCGGGAGGACGUCGAGGGAGGUUUCCGGAUUAUGCCACAAAAUCCGGGGUUCGCUGGUUGAGCCACAAAGCCAUGCAUCGUACCGGGACGCUCGUGCGGCGUGCGUUGGC